CAGUAGCCGCGGUAAUACGGAGGAUUCGAGCGUUAUCCGGAUUUACUGGGUUUAAAGGGUGCGCAGGCGGGCUCUUAAGUCAGCGGUGAAAUGUCUGGGCUUACCCUAGGAAUCGCCGUUGAUACUGGGAGUCUUGGAUAAGCAUAAGGACGGCGGAAUGCGUAGUGUAGCGGUGAAAUGCUUAGAUAUUACGUAGAAGACCAAUUGCGGAGGCAGCUGUCUGGGUCUUUAUCGACGCUCAAGCACGAAAGCGUGGGGAGCAAACAGGAUUAGAUACCCCGGUAGUCCCUGUCUCUUAUAC
Molecule: ribosomal RNA, 301 nt
Filed under: uncultured bacterium
Lineage: Bacteria
Description: partial 16S ribosomal RNA
Rfam family: Bacterial small subunit ribosomal RNA
Source: RNAcentral